AGAAAAAUUUCUUCUUCUCAGGAA
This 24-nucleotide transfer RNA is filed under the name Mus terricolor (Earth-colored mouse). RNAcentral's name for it is "partial tRNA-Thr". The record is from RNAcentral. Lineage: Eukaryota; Metazoa; Chordata; Mammalia; Rodentia; Muridae.